CAGUAGCCACGGGAAUACGUAGGUGGCAAGCGUUGUCCGGAAUUAUUGGGCGUAAAGCGCGCGCAGGUGGUUUAAUAAGUCUGAUGUGAAAGCCCACGGCUCAACCGUGGAGGGUCAUUGGAAACUGUUAAACUUGAGUGCAGGAGAGAAAAGUGGAAUUCCUAGUGUAGCGGUGAAAUGCGUAGAGAUUAGGAGGAACACCAGUGGCGAAGGCGGCUUUUUGGCCUGUAACUGACACUGAGGCGCGAAAGCGUGGGGAGCAAACAGGAUUAGAGACCCCCGUAGUCCCUGUCUCUUAUAC
RNAcentral lists this ribosomal RNA (301 nucleotides) under uncultured bacterium. RNAcentral's name for it is "partial 16S ribosomal RNA". It matches the Rfam family "Bacterial small subunit ribosomal RNA", at positions 509 to 807 of the family's 1533-position model. The record is from RNAcentral.